This is a long non-coding RNA of Oreochromis aureus, 2492 nucleotides long. RefSeq lists it as uncharacterized. Lineage: Eukaryota; Metazoa; Chordata; Actinopteri; Cichliformes; Cichlidae. The record is from RefSeq and is a predicted model, not a curated record. The transcript has 3 exons.
GCUGUUACAGGAACAGAUGUUGGCAGAUGUGUCAGUGACAGAGUUACAGUUAGAGAGGUCAGUGAGCAGGAUUUCUAUCAGGAUUCAUGUCAGAGUUAUUAUAAUGAUGUCUGUUGGUUCACACUCACGGAUGCUUUGGACUGAUUCCAGCUCAAAGAGCAUUAACAUGUUUUCAUGUUUACAUCAUGAUGAGGAGCAGAGACUCUGAGGAUUCUCCUGAACUCUGGACUACAACCAGAAAAACAUCACAGUUGGACAGGACGUCAAUCUGACAUGUCGAGCUCCGAACAACAACAUCCACAUUGUACAGUGGAGCAGAGCUGACCUGGGAGAUAAACAUGUCCUUGUGUACCGAGGCGGGCACUUUCUUACAGAUGAGCAGCAUCCAUCUUUUAAGAACCGGGUGGAUCUGCAGGACAGACAGAUGAAGGAUGGAGACGUGUCUUUGAUUCUGAAGAAUGUGACGAUUAAUGACACUGGAACAUACGAGUGUCGUUUUGCUAAGAAAGAACCAAACCAAACAACAGUCAAUUUGAAUCUCACCAGCAUCAUCAACCUGAGUGUUGAUCCUCCAGGUCCAACAGGUGGACCAAAGAAGGAUGAAGACAACAGAGGGAAGGAGGAUGGAUCUGUUGGACUGAUAGUUGGUCUGUCAGUUCCUGCUGUGCUUCUUUUUGCUUUUAUCUUUUUGAUUUACAGAUGUAGGAGACAGCAGAGUGAGGAAACAAACCAGCCUCCUGUUGACCUGCAGCAGGUUUAAAUGUCUCAGAGCUUUUUCCAGCUUUGAGUCUGCUGCUGCUGUUCAGAGUUCUGGGUGUUGUCAGUGUUUAAAAUCCUGCAGAAACAGAUGAACUGAGCACAGCCAGCAGGCCCACAGUACUGUAUGUUUAUUUCAUUUUUCUCCUUAAUGGCUGCUUCUGUUUCUGUUGACAGCUCAUCUCAGUGGAAGAGUUUCAUCUUUAAAACAAGUCUUUACAUUUCAGCUCUGUAGUUAACUGGAACAUCCAGAGGGCUGUGACUACAAAUCAUCUUCAACACAGUCAGGCUUUCUUUGUGUUAGCUGGCUCAACUAAACCUGAAACUGCAGUCAGAGACAGCAGGUAUCACCAUGGUGGUUAUUAACUUUCUCUGCUUCAGGCUCUGAGCACGCUCUGAUGAAAAGGAGCGUUUCAUGUAUCAUGUGACUUUUCUUCUAAACAAAAUGAUCCCAGUGAGCGCCACCCAGUCCAAUCAGAGACGUUAUUCAUUGAUAACUUUACUAAUGUCUCCACUAAAUUAAUACAGGUACAUUCCUGUAACAAUGUGAUGUGCAGUUUAGGUUCAUUCAGUGGUUUCAGUACGUCACAGUUUAACAAGCUGCACAUAUGAGACAUUUUCCCCCAGCAGAGGAUCUACAUCACAGUGAAAACGUGGCUCUAACAGCUGAUUUAAAAACAAAACUCUGAACAUGAUCUGCUCCUGUCCAGGUGAUUUUUCACCAUCAGUUACCAUGGUGAUUUAGCCUCUUUCUGACACAGAAAGCUCUGACUUUGAGUUUGACACAGCUCACUGAGACAUUAGUCUGGUUUGUAGUGCACGCCUCUGAGGUUCAGAUUUUCAAAGUUAUAAAAUCUCAAAGUAAAACACUGUAAAGAUUAAAACUCUACAGCUGCUGUCAACAAAAACAACUUUUAUCUCUUUAAUCAAAUGAAGGAAAAACUUGAACAUUUUUCACUUUGAUGGUUUUGUGUCCACUGACAGUAGUCACAUCAUUUUGAGCUCAGAUUACACAUUUAUGAAAUAUGUUCACAACUGAAUGUUUUAUCACGAUCUGAUGUGUGAGUUCAGUUUCUCUUUAUCUUUGUGAGCUGUAUGGUUUGUUUACCCUCAGUAUCCAUGGUUACAGGAUACUGUGUUACAGACCUGGGAUCAGUGUUUUUGUUUAUAAGAUCAAAUAUGACCUCAUUAUGUGAGUGUGAGCUUUGGACCACAAAACCUCAACAACACUAAUCCUCAAUCAGCUGUUUCACUAAAAUUACAUCCAAGUAUAAACUGAUCCCAUCGUUCAUGCAUCACUUUGUAGCUGACAGAUGGUUAUGGACAUUCCUGGUUGCCUAGGUAACCCUCUAAUGUAUUAACUACUGGUACAUUUGUCACUCAGCAGUACGAUUUACUCUCAUUGCUAGUUGUUUCAGUAGUUCUUAAAGAUAAGAAAAGUUUACCUUGGUACUCAGUCACUUCAAAUCACUGAUCAGUUAUUUCCUCGUCUGAGUUUCGUUGACCUUUCAUGACCUCUGACUCCUGCUGUUCUCUUCCUGUGUGAACACUUUUCACUGGAACUGAAAAUCUGAGUUUCUAUGAAGUCCUUUAGAUUGCAGAUAAUCACAAGUCUGACUGAGGAUCCAGUGAUCAGGGACAACUGAACGGCCUCUAACUGCAAAGUAUUAGUAGUUUAUUUUAUUGUUUGCUAAAAUAGUUGCACAUGUAUCAGUAUUACAGGCUUUUAGUCAUUU